UUUUUUUUUUUUUUUUUUUUUUUUUUUGCGCUCCUUUUU
RNAcentral lists this non-coding RNA (39 nucleotides) under Prorocentrum micans. The record is from RNAcentral. Lineage: Eukaryota; Dinophyceae; Prorocentrales; Prorocentraceae.